Molecule: long non-coding RNA, 880 nt
Organism: Xenopus tropicalis (tropical clawed frog)
Lineage: Eukaryota; Metazoa; Chordata; Amphibia; Anura; Pipidae
Exons: 3
Source: RefSeq, a predicted model, not a curated record
CAAGCAAGAGUCUUAGCAAGCAUUGUCUUUAAAUCCACAACAACUCUCGGAGUGCAAGACUAAAAUGUUUUGUGCUUUGUUGCAGGAAUUGAUCUUCUCUGGAAUGAAAGAAGCCAGGAAACCAGAUGCUGGGGAGCAGGGAGUGGAGCCCAGGAGAUACUGACAGGAUUUGAACUUGGUGGUGAGUGACAUCUGAGGAGUAGGCCCAGCAAAGUGAGCGAUGCUGCAGCAUGAACAUAAGAGGAUCACACAGAAGUCAUGGAAACCUGAGAUCCAAAGGAUCAUGACAUUAUGGAAAGAAUUCUUGUACAACCUUCUCAAGUCCAUAAUUGAGAUGUGCACAGAGCUUGGAAUGCCUAAUCAAUUCAUUUUAAUGGCAAAAGAGAUUGAUUGCAGAUCUGUUCUGCCUUCCUGAAGAUAAUUUUGAAAAAGUUAGCAAAAGGGUAAUAUAAGUCGUAGGCAACAUGAAUCUUAGGCUGAGUGAAGUAUAUGCUCUGAACCUCUCCUGGGGCAAUUCCAGUGGGUAGGAUUUUCAGCGGGGGUUAAUGCAAGAGGUUAAGAAGCAGCACCAUGGUGUCACCAUUAAACAAAGACGUUAAAAAAGCUGUGAGGGUUUGGGAUUAAAUCUUACAACAUAACAAUUAGGUUGAAAGAAGUUAUAGGGCUCAUAUAUGUCCGCAGAUAAAGUGGGCAAUUUGCGCUUUUUCCCACAGUCAUUUCACCUAAAGGUACUUGGAUCAAAAAAUGUGCUCUUGGCACUCUUGUAAAGUUAUAGGAAACUGAAAAUCAGCCACAUUAAACAGGCAUACAUAGAAUGUUAGGGCUCUGGCACACAGGGAGAUUAGUCGCCCGCGACAAAUCUCCCUGUUCGCGGGCGACU